CAGCAGCCGCGGUAAUACAGAGGGUGCGAGCGUUAAUCGGAUUUACUGGGCGUAAAGCGUGCGUAGGCGGCUUCUUAAGUCGGAUGUGAAAUCCCUGAGCUUAACUUAGGAAUUGCAUUCGAUACUGGGAAGCUAGAGUAUGGGAGAGGAUGGUAGAAUUCCAGGUGUAGCGGUGAAAUGCGUAGAGAUCUGGAGGAAUACCGAUGGCGAAGGCAGCCAUCUGGCCUAAUACUGACGCUGAGGUACGAAAGCAUGGGGAGCAAACAGGAUUAAAUACCCCUGUAGUCCCUGUCUCUUAUAC
Molecule: ribosomal RNA, 301 nt
Filed under: uncultured bacterium
Lineage: Bacteria
Description: partial 16S ribosomal RNA
Rfam family: Bacterial small subunit ribosomal RNA
Source: RNAcentral